UAGCAGAUUUGCAAAAGGCCGCCAGCUGCGAUUGUAAGUACUUGUAUAUAACUAUAACUUUGCAAUUUCUUGAUUUAAUUAUCGAUAGCAUGAUGCUGGUUGUGUGGAUAUCUGUUUGUUUUCCAAACUCUUCUCCGCACAAAGCCAGGCCAGAGUGUUCCAGGUUUUUUAGCAAAGGUCCACUUGCCUUCAACAGUGGAAAUACGCGGUGCUUUUGCAGUAAAAUCUAACUUCCGUUUUCAUUGAAUUAAUUUCUAAAGGAGGCAUAAAAGCUGGAAAUGUUGUCUAUACUCUAAGCUUGUCUGAAAAUUUUGCAGGAUUUUGAGAAAUAAUGUUAAGUGUUUAUGCAUGGGAGGGAUUAUUGCACAUUGUUCAUUCCUGAGGUUUAGUAUCUAAUAUGAUGAACAGUGCAAAUGUUGUAACAUGGUAUCCUCUCAAAAGAGUUGUAGUGCGUAUAGUGAAUGCAUUUUUCAUGUAGAUAUGUUUGUGCUUAUGACCAUAUCUUGCAACUCAUUACAUGUUCUGUGAUGCAAUGUAAUCUUUGUUUUGUAUUUGGUACAGUCUUGCAAAUGUUGAUCCAAU
RNAcentral lists this unclassified non-coding RNA (582 nucleotides) under Hevea brasiliensis (rubber tree). The record is from RNAcentral. Lineage: Eukaryota; Viridiplantae; Streptophyta; Magnoliopsida; Malpighiales; Euphorbiaceae.